GAUGAACGCUGGCGGCGUGCCUAAUACAUGCAAGUCGAGCGAACAGACGAGGAUCUUUCUCCUCUGACGUUAGCGGCGGACGGGUGAGGAACACGUGGAUAACCUACCUAUAAGACUGGGAUAACUUCGGGAAACCGUAGCUAAUACCGGAUAAUAUAGUUAACCGUAUGGUUCAAUAGUGAAAGACUGUGUUUCUGUCACUUAUAGAUGGAUCCGCGCCGCAUUAGCUAUUUGGGAAGGUAACGGCUUACCAAGGCAACGGAGCGUAGCCGACCUGAUAGGGUGGUCGGCCCCCCUGGAACUGAGACACGGUACAGACUACUCCGGGAGGCAGCACAAGGGAAACUUACGCAAUGGGAGAAAGCCAGACGGGACACAGCCGCGUCGGUGAUAAAGGUAUUCGGCUCGUAAAACUCAGUUAUUAGGGAACAACAAAAGUGUAAGUAACUAUGAACGACUUGAAGGUACCUAAUCAAAAAGGCACGGCUAACUCCGUG
Molecule: ribosomal RNA, 497 nt
Filed under: uncultured bacterium
Lineage: Bacteria
Description: partial 16S ribosomal RNA
Rfam family: Bacterial small subunit ribosomal RNA
Source: RNAcentral